This 406-nucleotide ribosomal RNA is filed under the name uncultured bacterium. Its description in RNAcentral is "partial 16S ribosomal RNA". It matches the Rfam family "Bacterial small subunit ribosomal RNA", at positions 30 to 526 of the family's 1533-position model. The record is from RNAcentral.
AUUGAACGCUGGCGGCAGGCCUAACACAUGCAAGUCGAACGAGUGGCGGACGUGUGAGUAAUGUCUGGGAACGUGCCUGGUGGAGGGGGUUCACUACUGGAAACUGUAGCUAAUACCGCAUACUAUAGGAUAUGCCGAUAUGGGAUUAGCUAGUUGGUGGGGUAAAGGCUCACCAAGGCGACGAUCCGUAGCUGGUAUGAGAGGAUGACCAGCCACACUGGAACUGAGACACGGUCCAGACUCCUACGGGAGGCAGCAGUGGGGAAUAUUGGACAAUGGGGGAAAGCCUGAUGCAGCCAUGCCGCGUGUAUGAAGAAGGCCUUCGGGUUGUAAAGUACUUUCAGCGGGGAGGCGUUACCCGCAGAAGAAGCACCGGCUAACUCCGUGCCAGCAGCCGCGGUAAUUC